GAUCAUGGCUCAGAUUGAACGCUGGCGGCAGGCCUAACACAUGCAAGUCGAGCGGCAUCGGGAAGGUAGCUUGCUAUCUUUGCCGGCGAGCGGCGGACGGGUGAGUAAAGUCUGGGGAUCUGCCUGAUGGAGGGGGAUAACUACUGGAAACGGUAGCUAAUACCGCAUGAUGUUACGCGACCAAAGCGGGGGACCUCCGGGCCUCGCGCCAUCAGAUGAACCCAGAUGGGAUUAGCUAGUAGGAGAGGUAAUGGCUCCCCUAGGCGACGAUCCCUAGCUGGUCUGAGAGGAUAACCAGCCACACUGGAACUGAGAGACGGUCCAGACUCCUACGGGAGGCAGCAGUGGGGAAUAUUGCACAAUGGGCGCAAGCCUGAUGCAGCCAUGCCGCGUGUGUGAAGAAGGC
Molecule: ribosomal RNA, 406 nt
Filed under: symbiont type-X of Acyrthosiphon pisum
Lineage: Bacteria; Pseudomonadati; Pseudomonadota; Gammaproteobacteria; Enterobacterales; Enterobacteriaceae
Description: bacterial SSU rRNA
Rfam family: Bacterial small subunit ribosomal RNA
Source: RNAcentral